AUUGAACGCUGGCGGCAGGCCUAACACAUGCAAGUCGAGCGGCUGAAGGGGGCUUGCUCCUGGAUUCAGUGGCGGACGGGUGAGUAAUGCCUAGGAAUUUGCCUGGCAGUGGGGGAUAACGUCCGGAAACGGGCCCUAAUUCAGCAUACGUCAUGAGGGAGAACGUGGGGGUUCUUCGGACCUCACGCUUUUAGAUGAGCCUAGGUCGGAAUAGCUAGUUGGUGGGGUAAAGGCCUACCAAGGCGACGAUCCGUAACCGGUCUGAGAGGAUGAUCAGUCACACUGGAACUGAGACACGGUCCAGACUCCUACGGGAGGCAGCAGUAGGGAAUAUUCGGCAAUGGGCGAAAGCCUGAUGCAGCAAUGCCGCGUGAGUGAAGAAGGUCUUCGGAUUGUAAAGCUCUUUAAGUUGGGAAGAAGAACAGUAAGAUAAUACCUUGCUGUUUUGACGGUACCAACAGAAUAAGCACCGGCUAACUACGUG
RNAcentral lists this ribosomal RNA (484 nucleotides) under uncultured bacterium. RNAcentral's name for it is "partial 16S ribosomal RNA". It matches the Rfam family "Bacterial small subunit ribosomal RNA", at positions 30 to 507 of the family's 1533-position model. The record is from RNAcentral.